RNAcentral lists this long non-coding RNA (706 nucleotides) under Portunus trituberculatus (swimming crab). RNAcentral describes it as "uncharacterized LOC123502296, transcript variant X2". The record is from RNAcentral. Lineage: Eukaryota; Metazoa; Arthropoda; Malacostraca; Decapoda; Portunidae.
ACCACUCAUAAGCUUGAUCUAACAGGCGUUGACGAUCCAAAGGCCUGACUCCACAGCGGUAAUGAGCCUCGUCUACCUUGCACUUUGACGGACAACGCUCACUACCAACACUUCUAGAAGCCUCCGCCACCGCCGUAAGAUUGCAUCGCGCACACGGUCUACUCUUAACGACCGCCACCGCCACCGCCGCUGCCGCCGUUGAGGGAGAUGGCUGGAUGAGUGGGUGAUAGAGGCGAGGCAGGUGUGGUGAGGCGGAGGAUUGGAGACGAGAACCUACAGAUGACGGCAGACACGGAAGAUUCCACUAACCAGGAGUUGGUGAUCCGAAGCCGUGACUGCAGCGAUCCCGUGCGUCCUGCACCAUCAAGGGAAGGACACUCUGGCUUCGCACUGCGCCUACAUUGACCGUUGCCGCCGCCGCUGCUACCGCUACUCGGAGGGGCACUGCCUCGCAUUGGGCCUUCACUGCCGUCCCGCUAAUGCACGUGUCGCCGUCGCAGCUACUGGCACUGAGGGACUUCGCCUCGCAGCGGCCUGGCAAACACCUGCUACACCACCACCACUAACUCCACCACCGCAGUCCAGAGAUUCAGCUUCGCAUAGCAGACAUCCUCCUAUUCAACGCUUGCUGCCACUACCACCUCAUUAUGGUGGUGUCACUGUACUUGGAUAUGUUGUCACUACCGAAUAAUAAUGUGUAAAGAAA